AAGACUAUACUUUCAGGGAUCAUUUCUAUAGUUUGUGACUUGAGAAAUGAGUUUCUAAAGUGUUUGGUCUCGCUAUCCACGAUGAAGAGUCGUGAUGUUCUCUUCUGAGCGUGAAGAGGGCAGAGAUUAAUGAUUCGAUUCAUAGGAUCUCUGUCGUUGAUGAACGUUCUUAUCUCCUCUGGGAGAGCGGAGGGAGAGAGCAUGAUCAGAGUGGU
Molecule: small nucleolar RNA, 215 nt
Organism: Takifugu rubripes (torafugu)
Lineage: Eukaryota; Metazoa; Chordata; Actinopteri; Tetraodontiformes; Tetraodontidae
Gene: U3
Rfam family: Small nucleolar RNA U3
About the family: Small nucleolar RNAs (snoRNAs) are involved in the processing and modification of rRNA in the nucleolus. There are two main classes of snoRNAs: the box C/D class, and the box H/ACA class.
Source: Ensembl